This is a long non-coding RNA of Cavia porcellus (domestic guinea pig), 605 nucleotides long. RefSeq lists it as uncharacterized. The transcript is spliced from 2 exons. Lineage: Eukaryota; Metazoa; Chordata; Mammalia; Rodentia; Caviidae. The record is from RefSeq and is a predicted model, not a curated record.
AAGAAGCAGCCGGGCAGGGCCCACGGUGAUAAGGGCACAUCUGCUCUGGGAGUGCGCAUGCAGACCCCAAAGGGAUUCCGCAUGCAGACCCCAAAGGGAUUCCUCUACACCGCUCCCUAUUCCCGCUGCGGAUCUUAGCCCAAGUGAAUAAGGGCAUCAUCCUAGGAAAGGGGCGCAGAACCCGGCUCAAUCAUUCUCUUCUCCAGGCCCAGCUCCAAACACUGGAAAUUGUCCAAAACGGAGACAGCCAAUGAGUGAGGAGCUGCCAUGGGUGACCAAUGCUUGCUCUAUGCUACUCUGCACCUUAGGAUGUGGGUGAACUUGGCAUCAACCAUUGUGCCCAUUUUAAGUGAUGCCAGGCCCCCAUUACAGUUUCAUGAAGUUACACUGGCCCUGUCACUUGUCUCAUAGGAAAUUCUGUCAACAGUAUGGAUUGCAUGGUUCUGUAAUUUUCUAUAACACUGGAGAAUUCACAAGAAAGGAUCAUCUGUCCAUAACCCAGCCUCUUGUCAUCUCUCCCCUGACCUGUUCUAGAUCCCAGACUGGCAGCAUUUCCAAUGCCCGUACCUGAGAAUCCUGACUAAUACAUUUUCUGUCUUUCAUAA